CGGGACGUGGCUUAGCCAGGCUAAAGCGCCAGUCUGGGGGACUGGAGAACGCGGGUUCAAAUCCCGCCGUCCCGA
RNAcentral lists this transfer RNA (75 nucleotides) under Streptosporangiaceae bacterium. RNAcentral's name for it is "tRNA-Pro". It matches the Rfam family "tRNA". From Rfam's summary of the family: Transfer RNA (tRNA) molecules are approximately 80 nucleotides in length. Their secondary structure includes four short double-helical elements and three loops (D, anti-codon, and T loops). Further hydrogen bonds mediate the characteristic L-shaped molecular structure. tRNAs have two regions of fundamental functional importance: the anti-codon, which is responsible for specific mRNA codon recognition, and the 3' end, to which the tRNAs corresponding amino acid is attached (by aminoacyl-tRNA synthetases). tRNAs cope with the degeneracy of the genetic code in two manners: having more than one tRNA (with a specific anti-codon) for a particular amino acid; and 'wobble' base-pairing, i.e. permitting non-standard base-pairing at the 3rd anti-codon position. Lineage: Bacteria; Bacillati; Actinomycetota; Actinomycetes; Streptosporangiales; Streptosporangiaceae. The record is from RNAcentral.